RNAcentral lists this ribosomal RNA (492 nucleotides) under uncultured bacterium. Its description in RNAcentral is "partial 16S ribosomal RNA". It matches the Rfam family "Bacterial small subunit ribosomal RNA", at positions 29 to 507 of the family's 1533-position model. The record is from RNAcentral.
AGUGAACGCUGGCGGUAGGCCUAACACAUGCAAGUCGAACGGCAGCACAGUAAGAGCUUGCUCUUACGGGUGGCGAGUGGCGGACGGGUGAGGAAUACAUCGGAAUCUACUUUUUCGUGGGGGAUAACGUAGGGACACUUACGCUAAUACCGCAUACGACCUACGGGUGAAAGCAGGAGAUCUUCGGACCUUGCGCGAUUGAAUGAGCCGAUGUCGGAUUAGCUAGUUGGCGAGGUAAAGGCCCACCAAGGCGACGAUCCGUAGCUGGUCUGAGAGGAUGAUCAGCCACACUGGAACUGAGACACGGUCCAGACUCCUACGGGAGGCAGCAGUAGGGAAUAUUGGGCAAUGGGCGCAAGCCUGAUGCAGCAAUGCCGCGUGAGUGAAGAAGGCCUUCGGGUUGUAAAGCCCUUUUAUUGGGGAAGAAAAGCAGCGGAAUAAUACCCCGCUGUUCUGACGGUACCCAAAGAAAAAGCACCGGCUAACUUCGUG